This 136-nucleotide ribosomal RNA is filed under the name uncultured bacterium. Its description in RNAcentral is "partial 16S ribosomal RNA". It matches the Rfam family "Bacterial small subunit ribosomal RNA", at positions 355 to 508 of the family's 1533-position model. The record is from RNAcentral.
UGGGGAAUAUUGCACAAUGGACGGAAGUCUGAUGCAGCAACGCCGCGUGGAGGAUGACACAUUUCGGUGCGUAAACUCCUUUUAUAUGAGAAGAUAAUGACGGUAUCAUAUGAAUAAGCACCGGCUAACUCCGUGC